This 964-nucleotide ribosomal RNA is filed under the name uncultured Basidiomycota. RNAcentral's name for it is "eukaryotic LSU rRNA". The stretch from base 311 to 964 matches the Rfam family "Eukaryotic large subunit ribosomal RNA", at positions 1 to 642 of the family's 3401-position model. The record is from RNAcentral. Lineage: Eukaryota; Fungi; Basidiomycota.
AUCGAUGAAGAACGCAGCGAAAUGCGAUAAGUAAUGUGAAUUGCAGAAUUCAGUGAAUCAUCGAAUCUUUGAACGCACCUUGCGCCCCUUGGUAUUCCGAGGGGCAUGCCUGUUUGAGUGUCUUAUCAAUAUCAAUCCCCUGCCUUUCUCACGAUCGGUGUGGUGGACUUGGAUUUGGGCGUUGCCGGGUGACCGGCUCGUCUUAAAGACGUUAGUGGGAAGGGUUCCCUCUUGGCCUGACGUAAUAAGUUUCGUCUGACCUUGGGAUCUCAUGCCGGCUUCCAACCCGCCCUCGGGCAUUUUUUGUCAUGGACCUCAAAUCAGGUAGGACUACCCGCUGAACUUAAGCAUAUCAAUAAGCGGAGGAAAAGAAACUAACAAGGAUUCCCCUAGUAACGGCGAGUGAACCGGGAAGAGCUCAAAUUUGUAAUCUGGCGUGCUCAGCGCGUCCGAGUUGUAAUCUAUAGAAACGUUUUCCGUGCCGGACCGCGUCCAAGUCCCUUGGAACAGGGUAUCAAAGAGGGUGACAAUCCCGUACUUGACGCGACGACCGGUGCUCUGUGAUACGUUCUCUACGAGUCGAGUUGUUUGGGAAUGCAGCUCAAAACGGGUGGUGAAUUCCAUCUAAGGCUAAAUAUUGGCGAGAGACCGAUAGCGAACAAGUACCGUGAGGGAAAGAUGAAAAGCACUUUGGAAAGAGAGUUAAACAGUAUGUGAAAUUGUUGAAAGGGAAACGAUUGAAGUCAGUCGUGAGCCCGGGAUUCAGCCGGUUCUGCCGGUCUACUUCCCGGGCUUGGGUCAACAUCAGUUCUCGUCGGUGGAUAAAGGCUGUGGGAAUGUGGCUCCCUCGGGAGUGUUAUAGCCCGCUGUCGCAUACGCCGGUGGGGACUGAGGAAUGCAGCUCGCCUUUAUGGCCGGGGUUUCGGCCCACGUUCGAGCUUAGGAUGUUGGCAUAAUGGCUUUA